Unclassified non-coding RNA from Callithrix jacchus (white-tufted-ear marmoset), 148 nucleotides. It matches the Rfam family "Metazoan signal recognition particle RNA". Rfam says of the family: The signal recognition particle (SRP) is a universally conserved ribonucleoprotein. It is involved in the co-translational targeting of proteins to membranes. Lineage: Eukaryota; Metazoa; Chordata; Mammalia; Primates; Cebidae. The record is from Ensembl.
GUCAGGCAUGGUGGUGCAUGCCUGCAGUCCUAGCUACUCAGGAGGCUGAGGCAGGAGGAUCACUUGAGCCCAGGAGUUCUGGGCUGCAGUGAGCCAUGAUCGCACCACCACACUCCAGCCUGGGUGACAGAGGGAGAUCCUGGCUUUA